CAAGGACAAGCUUCUCCGCUCCCAACCAUUGCUUCCCUCUCACUGCCACGUACCGCCAUCCCCUCCCUCACUGACAAAUUCUAUGUCGCCGAUCUAAUCGGCUCAGUUUUCGUAUCCGCCUAAGACACCUCCUCCACCGUCCUCUCCCCCACUUCCGACUACGUCUCCUCCACCUUCAUCGAGAUCGACCCCGUCACCGAGGACGGGCCUCAUGAUAAACUGAUAAGCAGUUACAACGCCAACACGGCGGCUGCUGGAAAUGGCAAGAUGAUCGAGGAGAUGUACCAGAAAGAGUCAGCUACAUGUUUUGUCCGGAUAACUACAUCGGAUCCAUAGGGAAGCACCAAUGAUAUGAGCACCAAUUCUCGAAAACCCAAACCCUCUGGGUCGCCUACGUCCCGGCGCUUUACAAGAUCUUCGACGACAUUCUGGUGUUGACUGAAUUCGUCAUCGAAACGGUCGACGGCAAGCGCCAGAAGAAGUACAGGUACGAAUAUUAAGGCAAAUUACAUGGAGGUGCUUAUGAGUUUACAGUAUGCUUGGCCAAUGCAGAGUCUCGCAUCUCCUAAGGAUGAUGUCAUGUUGGUUACUUGUGACUAGUGAGAUAUGUAUGUUGUGGGAGUGUAGGAGUGGCAGAGGCAACACUCAUGUAUAACCAGAUGUAUCAUCAGUUUUCCUCAUAAUAGUUGAUGUACCUGUUUCAAAUAACCACCAAAUAAUGAAGUUCAAGUUUGCAGCAGACUGCAUUCUAUACGAUGCUGAGUUUUGCAUUUACACUGUAAUUCUUAAUACACAUAUACAGUCUAGUCCGCUAUGAAUUUUGGCUGUGAUGGUGUUGUAUAGUGUAGGCUAUGAUACACCAGUACAGAUACGGAACACGGAUAUAGUACGGCAUGAUACGAGGAUACGUUUUUUUCUAGUAUGUAGCGUUUUGGAUAUGUUUUGUAAAAUCAUAUUUAAUAUAUAUAAUAAAUUUUAGAAUUUAAUCAAAAACAGCAAUUAGAAAUUUAGAUUACCUAAAUCUCAUCAAUUUUACAAUAAACAUAAGUCCAUAAAUACGUUUUGUUAAUAAAUUGAUUAUACCACUGGAGUACUGGUUAGAGCAGUACCCGAACUAAAGUAGAGACGUAGUAGUCUAACAAUCUCAUAUUCAAAGGUAGGUUGCUUAAUUAGUGUUCUUUACUAUAGUUUCUGCCAUAACUUAAAAAAUAUAUACAAUGAAGGGAAAAUCAAGGAAAUCAAAAACUAGAAACUGAGUAAUAACAAGGAUUAGAGCAUAGUACAUGACCGAUAUCACAAUGAGGGGAAACUUGACUUUUCGAUGGUUUUUUUAAUCUUAAGAGGCGCAAACGAUGAUUAUAGAUGGAGAACAUAACUAUAUGUAUUCUGGGUUCACUGAAAGUCUAAAACUUUGAGCUGAGCUGAGUUGAUCCCAAUUAAAUGAUAAUUCGAGUUGGGCUGUACAAAUCUAGACCAAAACCUGCAAAUCAAGGCAACCCAAAUUGAAAAGAUGAAAACUUUAAGACUCUAGAUUGAAAACGAAGCGAUCUGAAUUGAGAUUCACAAAAUCACAAAACAAUAACGAACCUAAUGCAAAUGUAAAAGGUUGAGUAUUGGGCCAGUAAAGACCUGAGAAGUAUGAGUGUGACACGUGAAAUGCAAUGAAGCCUCUAAUCUGGGUUCACCUCCCUCUAGUCUGGGUUCAACUCCCGGUAUCUAGUAUUGCAGAUGGAGAGAAUGUGCAGCUAAAUGGUUAUUGUACUCUAAAACGUAUCCAAUCGUAUCCGGAUCGUAUCUGUUGAGUUGACUUUGGACUACAUAGUUAGGAUACGUUUUUCCAUCAAUGAAUAUGUGUAUAUGGCGUAUCGGACACGAGUAUGAUACAAACAUACCCAGUUUUUCCCGUAUCCAUGCUAUAUAGAGUGUUGGCACAUAUUACUUUAUUCUUGUGUACUUGGCAAGACUUUUAUUGAGUUAUGAAUUUUUUUUUGACAGAAAACAUAAAGAAGUAGCUGGAAUUCUGGAAAUAGAGGUAGCUAUGGAGAGGAACAUGAAGAGUUUUUUUAUUUUCCCAUGUUGUUCAAUUGAAGUUGUAUUUCAAAUUGUAUAGUACAUUAGAGAAAUUCAUGGUUGAAAGUGGAACCUAAUUAUAUAUAUUUUAAUAUACCUCUAGUUUGCCACUAAUAUUGGUGGCUUUGAGAAUACACUGAUAUCCAAUAGUAGGAAAUGAAAAGGUUUGCUGUCUUGGAUGGGGGAUGUCACUGAUGUAUUAUUAGUCAAAUUCCCCAAUUGAACUUGUUAUAGAGGACACUGAUAUUGUAUUAGUGACUACAGGGGUGCUAAUGCCAUUCCACACUGUUAUCGGGAUGUAUUUUCCCCAAUAGGGACUAUUCUGUAAUUCAUACGUGUGUAUUGGGAAAGU
This is a long non-coding RNA of Argentina anserina (silverweed cinquefoil), 2422 nucleotides long. RefSeq lists it as uncharacterized. Lineage: Eukaryota; Viridiplantae; Streptophyta; Magnoliopsida; Rosales; Rosaceae. The transcript is spliced from 6 exons. The record is from RefSeq and is a predicted model, not a curated record.